This 73-nucleotide transfer RNA is filed under the name Stegodyphus mimosarum. It matches the Rfam family "tRNA". Rfam says of the family: Transfer RNA (tRNA) molecules are approximately 80 nucleotides in length. Their secondary structure includes four short double-helical elements and three loops (D, anti-codon, and T loops). Lineage: Eukaryota; Metazoa; Arthropoda; Arachnida; Araneae; Eresidae. The record is from Rfam by way of RNAcentral.
GCCUUCGUGGUGUAGUGGUCAGCAUGCUCGACGCGUAACCGAGAGGUCCAUGGUUCGAUUCCCGGCGAAGGCG